Molecule: ribosomal RNA, 273 nt
Filed under: uncultured bacterium
Lineage: Bacteria
Description: partial 16S ribosomal RNA
Rfam family: Bacterial small subunit ribosomal RNA
Source: RNAcentral
UGUCGCCUACGGGGGGCAGCAGUGGGGAAUAUUGCACAAUGGGGGAAACCCUGAUGCAGCAACGCCGCGUGAAGGAAGACGGUUUUCGGAUUGUAAACUUCUGUUCUUAGUGAAGAAGAAUGACGGUAGCUAAGGAGCAAGCCACGGCUAACUACGUGCCAGCAGCCGCGGUAAUACGUAGGUGGCAAGCGUUGUCCGGAUUUACUGGGUGUAAAGGGCGUGUAGGCGGGAGAGCAAGUCAGACGUGAAAUUCCAGGGCUCAACCCUGGAACU